This 137-nucleotide non-coding RNA is filed under the name Pelodiscus sinensis (Chinese soft-shelled turtle). RNAcentral's name for it is "Eukaryotic large subunit ribosomal RNA". It matches the Rfam family "Eukaryotic large subunit ribosomal RNA", at positions 815 to 954 of the family's 3401-position model. The record is from Rfam by way of RNAcentral. Lineage: Eukaryota; Metazoa; Chordata; Testudines; Trionychidae.
CCCGGAGGUGAACUAUGCCUGGGCAGGGUGAAGCCAGAGGAAACUCUGGUGGCAGGUCCAUACCAGUCCUGACACGUGAUUCAGUUGUCCAACCUGGGUAUAGGGGCAAAAGACUAAUCGAACCAUCUAGUAGCUGG